Molecule: ribosomal RNA, 495 nt
Filed under: uncultured bacterium
Lineage: Bacteria
Description: partial 16S ribosomal RNA
Rfam family: Bacterial small subunit ribosomal RNA
Source: RNAcentral
GACGAACGCUGGCGGCGUGCCUAAUACAUGCAAGUAGAACGCUGAAGGAGGAGCUUGCUCCUCUGGAUGAGUUGCGAACGGGUGAGUAACGCGUAAGUAACCUGCCUGGUAGCGGGGGAUAACUAUUGGAAACGAUAGCUAAUACCGCAUAACAGUAGAUGUUGCAUGACAUUUGCUUAAAAGGUGCAAUUGCACCACUACCAGAUGGACCUGCGUUGUAUUAGCUAGUUGGUGGGGUAACGGCUCACCAAGGCGACGAUACAUAGCCGACCUGAGAGGGUGAUCGGCCACACUGGGACUGAGACACGGCCCAGACUCCUACGGGAGGCAGCAGUAGGGAAUCUUCGGCAAUGGACGGAAGUCUGACCGAGCAACGCCGCGUGAGUGAAGAAGGUUGUCGGAUCGUAAAGCUCUGUUGUAAGAGAAGAACGAGUGUGAGAGUGGAAAGUUCACACUGUGACGGUAUCUUACCAGAAAGGGACGGCUAACUACGUG